Molecule: ribosomal RNA, 497 nt
Filed under: uncultured bacterium
Lineage: Bacteria
Description: bacterial SSU rRNA
Rfam family: Bacterial small subunit ribosomal RNA
Source: RNAcentral
GAUGAACGCUGGCGGCGUGCCUAAUACAUGCAAGUCGAGCGAACAGACGAGGAGCUUGCUCCUCUGACGUUAACGGCGGACGGGUGAGUAACACGUGGAUAACCUACCUAUAAGACUGGGGUAACUUCGGGAAACCGGAGCUAAUACCGGAUAAUAUAUUGAACCGCAUGGUUCAAUAGUGGAAGACGGUUUUGCUGUCACUUAUAGAUGGAUCCGCGCCGCAUUAGCUAGUUGGUAAGGUAACGGCUUACCAAGGCAACGAUGCGUAGCCGACCUGAGAGGGUGAUCGGCCACACUGGAACUGAGACACGGUCCAGACUCCUACGGGAGGCAGCAGUAGGGAAUCUUCCGCAAUGGGCGAAAGCCUGACGGAGCAACGCCGCGUGAGUGAUGAAGGUCUUCGGAUCGUAAAACUCUGUUAUUAGGGAAGAACAAAUGUGUAAGUAACUAUGCACGUCUUGACGGUACCUAAUCAGAAAGCCACGGCUAACUACGUG